Molecule: long non-coding RNA, 3155 nt
Filed under: Triticum aestivum (bread wheat)
Lineage: Eukaryota; Viridiplantae; Streptophyta; Magnoliopsida; Poales; Poaceae
Description: long non-coding RNA (TAES_LNC016258)
Source: RNAcentral
AAUUUGGUAGUAGGCAAUCACUUAUUUCAUAUCCAACCAUGUUUAUUACAAAUAUAGGUUCAACCACGAGUGCAUAAUUCGAUGCACAGGUACAUAUAUUGAAGAACUACAGAAGCACCAAGUAAAGAACGAUGAACCACAGUUGUACUAAGGACUGUAUAGAGAGAGACGAAAAACAUUCUGGUUGCUGGAGAAGGUGAAGCGGAAUGCCCAUAUUGUGCCCUCCUCUAUGCAUAAUGCACGCACGACUCUAGGCUAACCCCUUGUGAUGAUUGCCUGUCCAUCCUUCACUGUCUUCAUUACGACUUCUUGAUGCUCAUUGUAGUCUGGAUGAAAUACUUUAACCUUCAUUGUGUGUCCAUCAAUCAUGUACUUUGCGAGGUAAUCUUGAGUGAACUGCUGCGGGAACCACUGCGAACGAAAAAGAUUCAGACAGUGUUGUCUAAGAACUGAUUAUGGGCAGUAAAAAGAGAAGGCUGCAGAAUUUGUAGUUACUAUCCUACAACUCACUGUUGUGUUGGAUAGAGCAUAAACAAAUAAUUUACUUGCCACCAUUCGUAUCUUUUUGCUAAUAAUCCUUAUCAGUUUCCUCACUUGAUGCUUGUACAUGAAUAUCUCAUUGCCCCAUACAAAAAAAGGUCGAUGCGUGGAUCCUUGCCAAGGGCGUAUGUACCUACAAGCCACAAGUCAAUAUUAUAAGCUAACAAGUGUCCAGACCUAGAUCUAUAUGCACUACAUUAUGAACGACAGGGGGAGUACAAGCCGAGGGAUGAAGCUAACCUCGGCGGAAAAUGGUGGCCACUCAUGUUGUUGUCCUGCAUAAGUAGUGGAAAGGCAUGAUAAGUACAUCAACCUUAACAUCAAAUAAAUAUAGCAAAGGUAAUCUUGUGUGCAGAGUGGAUAGCAGCACCGCCUCGGAUGGCCAGCAUGAUCUAACCGUGCCACAAUGCUGAACUGGACGUCUGACACAGCUUUAGCUGAUACUGUAACGUUGAGGCCCAUAACUAUUCUCGCGUGGUGGUUAGUGCGUAAAGGCCAAACGCCAACUCAGAACAAAUACCCAAACCUGUUAGUGCAUUGGGGGCUCGCGGAGACGAGCAGAGACUCACGAUAAUGUGACCCCAUCGCCCCGUCUCAUGGACUUAUGGGUGCUCUAUGGGCCCAUCCGACUUUCACAUCAACUCGCGGGUACCCCUCAGGGCCGACCCGAGUUUAAUAAUGGUCUCAAGUAAAGUCCGGGUAACCGUGUGUCCAUAACAUCAAGGAGGAAAACCCAAGGAAUCACCCCCGGUGGAUUCUACUCGAUGUAAUCAUCAAGGUGAACGUAAGAGGAACCACCCUCGAGGUUCACACUUGAGGGGUUGCACCACAGAGUCGUAUCGGGAGUGGUCAAGGAGGAAUCACCCUCGAUGAUCACGACCGAAUAACUACACUACAGAAUUAUCAUUAGGAGUGCGUUACAGGUAUCACCCUCGGCACUCGAUAAUAGCUCUGUAGAGUCGAGCAAAAAAAGGGGUGUGAUGUGAUGUGAGGUGUCGGGCUCUGGUCCUCGAUCACGUUGAUCGAGUCGUCAAUGAUGAAGCAGGGGAAACAAGGACAAGGUGGGGGUCACUGAUGGAUCACUAACCAACCUAUACUAAGCAGUGUAUAAUAAGGAGGUAGAUAACAAUAGCAGGUACAAAAGUAGGCUAUGCAUUAGAAUAGGAGCAAUCAAUUACAAUAGCAAAAUCUAAUUCAAGCAUGAGAGAAUAGAAUGGGCGAUAUCUGGAUGGUCAAGGGGGGAGGGGCUUGCCUGGAAGCUCCGCUGAAAGGGUAGAAGGGUCGUCGUCGACGUAGUCCAUCACAGUGACAACAUCAGUCUCGGGGUCUACCGGAGAGAAGAGGGGGAAGAAACAGUAAAUACAAAGCACAUAGAUGCACAUCAUAACAAUAAGCGGUGCUAGGGGUGUUCUAACACAGUGCUACGCGAUAUCGGCGAAGGGGGAUAACAUCCGGGAAAGUUUUCCCAGGGUUAGGCAUUUUCGAACAGACGAACUAGAGGGGAAAGGUUUGAUGUUCACUAUCUAGGGACGUGUGGCAGACAAACUGGCCGUAUAUCCGGAAUCGUCUCGAAAUUCUGAGCAACUUUCAUGUACAAAAGUAUUUUCAUCUGAGCUACGGAUUAUUUUCUAUGAUUUUUCAAAGAUUUAAACAAUAUUCUAGAAUUAAUGUUAAGUCAAAAAUAAAGAUUAAUUGCUAGGUGUACACACAGAAGUGUACAUGGCAGUGGCUUUAGUGGCUGACAGGUGGAGUCCAGUGGACUGCUUAGUCAACAGUAGACUGAGACUGUUGACUAGUCAAAGGGCCCAAGGGACCCGCAUGUCAUUGGCUGGGUUAUCCCAGUCACUAGUUUGACUGGUCAAUGUGGGAUCCAGGUGUCAUUCACACAUAUUUCAACAUUUUCUUUUUAAGUGGAUAUUUAGAGGAGGGGGUCCACCUGCCAUAGGCUAGUAGCUAAUCUAACUACUAACUUCGUUUCUAAAUAUAAGUCUUUCUAGAGAUUACACUAUAGACUACAUAUGGAUCAAAAUUAGUGAAUCUACACUCUAAAAUGUGUCUAUAUACAUCCGUAGGUAAUUUGUAGUGGAAUCUCUAAAAACACUUAUAUUUAGGAACGGAGGGAGUAGUAAUUAACGCUAAACUACUUUGCACAUGGCGGGCCAGAGGCACAACCAGCCUCAUGGCUUGUGCGCACACAUGCACACAUAGCGGCGCUAUAGGCAGCAACGGUAGGUAGUAGCAGCGCCUCAGCAAGCAGUAGGCAGGGCUGCGAGCGGCUGCGGGGUCACGCGGACAGGCGCCGGGCGCGGCGGGGCUAGCAGGGCGGCUGCAUGGCGAGCAGCUGCCGGCGGCAGAGGCAAGCGGCAGCUGCAGUACCCAGUAGCAGCAGCGCAGCAACACCAACAACAGCUAUGCGAGAACAGCAAUAGCAGCACAGCCAUGAACAGCAGGAGCAUGUGAGCGUGCGUGAGUGGACCAGUUCCAGCCACGGUGAGCGGCGGUGCGAGUGGGACGUCGUCUACGGUGAUAGAUUUGAAGGGGAAACAGAGGGGAUCGAUCGAGGUGCUCACAGUGAGCACGUAGGCGUGGUCGGGGAGGCCGGAGGCAAACCGUAG